CAGAUGGUUACUGGAGUUGGAUCCUGAGACUUCUGUCUUUCAAGCUGGUCGUUCCUUCCACUGAUGAAGAUUGAUUUGAAUUCUUAUCCUGCCUACCAAGUUCUCGAUGGUCCAUGGUGAAACUGUAAAGCCUUUAAGCUUGAUGGACCAGUCUCCACAUUUUAAUUUACACCAUCGAUGAACAGAAUCUGAAUAGACCAGAACUGAGGAACUGCACUUACUACCUCUUGCCAAUUGCAGAACAAUCCAUUAAAAAGUCAUUUCUAGGUCACUGUGGCUGGAAGCAGCAGCUUUUGUGCGGCUGGCAGUGGGGAGAGUUUAAAAAGGCA
Long non-coding RNA from Thamnophis elegans (Western terrestrial garter snake), 329 nucleotides. RefSeq lists it as uncharacterized. The transcript has 3 exons. NCBI's taxonomy places the organism in Eukaryota, Metazoa, Chordata, Lepidosauria, Squamata, Natricidae. The record is from RefSeq and is a predicted model, not a curated record.